AGCAAAAUUCUGCAAUGAGAAUCAGUCCAUCUUCAAGAGCUUCACUAGAUGGAAUGAAGUUCAAACACCUGGACUUUGUUGCACCCCAAGGUUUCCAGAUAACCUGAAAUUUUCUAGGACCAGAUCUGAAGAGAGGCAAGAGAGUUCUGCUUCUACUUUUUUGCUAGAACAAGCAGAGUUGAAGGAAUUCCAGAAAGGCUCAGGAAAGUUCCUAGACCAAAAGAGAAAAUUACUUUUUACAAUAAGAUACUGCAGCUCUGGAAAAAACAUGCUGAAAAUAGUCCUGUGCUUUUGCUGUGUGCUUUUUGUUUGUUCCCGUGCUGAAUAAAAGCCUGCAGACCAAGUUACCCUAUAAUUCUGGAUAAUUGGGUUAUUCAUUUUAAAACCCUUGGAUGGUGGGAGGAAAUAAUCGCUGUGCCUGUAUGAAUUGGAAAGGUGCCAUUCCGUUGAAACCAAGGUGAGACAAUUUGUUUCUGGAAUGCUAGGGAGAACUGAACUGCUUCAGARUGAAUGCCUUUUUGAGAUAAAACUAGACUAAACAGCUUUAAGCUUCCCUUUACUUGCUGGUGCCUG
Molecule: long non-coding RNA, 573 nt
Organism: Malurus melanocephalus (red-backed fairy wren)
Lineage: Eukaryota; Metazoa; Chordata; Aves; Passeriformes; Maluridae
Exons: 3
Source: RefSeq, a predicted model, not a curated record